Molecule: ribosomal RNA, 331 nt
Filed under: uncultured Cercozoa
Lineage: Eukaryota; Cercozoa
Description: bacterial SSU rRNA
Rfam family: Eukaryotic small subunit ribosomal RNA (bases 107-331)
Source: RNAcentral
GAUUUGUGGCAUUUAGGUGUGUGUCCCGGUGCGGUAACGCAUCUGUGUGACUACCGACUGGUGCCUUACUUCUAGUUGCUGCAGUCGGUGCUUUACUGCAUCGUGCUGUGUUAUGCACUAGAUCGUUUACUUUGAACAAAUUGGAGUGUUUCAAGCAGGCUGUGCAGGCUAUGAACAUUAGAGCAUGGAAUAAUAAUCUAGGACUUCGGUCCUAUUUUGUUGGUUUCUAGGACUGAAGUAAUGAUUGAUAGGGAUAGUUGGGGGUGCUAGUAUUCAGCGGCCAGAGGUGAAAUUCUUGGAUUCGCUGAAGACUAACUUAUGCGAAAGCAUU